RNAcentral lists this ribosomal RNA (466 nucleotides) under uncultured bacterium. RNAcentral describes it as "bacterial SSU rRNA". It matches the Rfam family "Bacterial small subunit ribosomal RNA", at positions 338 to 795 of the family's 1533-position model. The record is from RNAcentral.
CCUACGGGUUGCAGCAGUAGGGAAUCUUCCGCAAUGGACGAAAGUCUGACGGAGCAACGCCGCGUGAGUGAUGAAGGCUUUCGGGUCGUAAAACUCUGUUGUUAGGGAAGAACAAGUGCUAGUUGAAUAAGCUGGCACCUUGACGGUACCUAACCAGAAAGCCACGGCUAACUACGUGCCAGCAGCCGCGGUAAUACGUAGGUGGCAAGCGUUAUCCGGAAUUAUUGGGCGUAAAGCGCGCGCAGGUGGUUUCUUAAGUCUGAUGUGAAAGCCCACGGCUCAACCGUGGAGGGUCAUUGGAAACUGGGAGACUUGAGUGCAGAAGAGGAAAGUGGAAUUCCAUGUGUAGCGGUGAAAUUCGUAGAUAUUCGGAGGAACACCAGUGGCGAAGGCGGCUUACUGGUCUGCAACUGACGCUGAGGCGCGAAAGCGUGGGGAGCAAACAGGAUUAGAUACCCGAGUAGUC